This 492-nucleotide ribosomal RNA is filed under the name uncultured bacterium. RNAcentral's name for it is "partial 16S ribosomal RNA". It matches the Rfam family "Bacterial small subunit ribosomal RNA", at positions 29 to 507 of the family's 1533-position model. The record is from RNAcentral.
AGUGAACGCUGGCGGUAGGCCUAACACAUGCAAGUCGAACGGCGGCACAGUAAGAGCUUGCUCUUACGGGUGGCGAGUGGCGGACGGGUGAGGAAUACAUCGGAAUCUACUUUUUCGUGGGGGAUAACGUAGGGAAACUUACGCUAAUACCGCAUACGACCUACGGGUGAAAGCAGGGGAUCUUCGGACCUUGCGCGAUUGAAUGAGCCGAUGUCGGAUUAGCUAGUUGGCGGGGUAAAGGCCCACCAAGGCGACGAUCCGUAGCUGGUCUGAGAGGAUGAUCAGCCACACUGGAACUGAGACACGGUCCAGACUCCUACGGGAGGCAGCAGUGGGGAAUAUUGGACAAUGGGCGCAAGCCUGAUCCAGCCAUACCGCGUGGGUGAAGAAGGCCUUCGGGUUGUAAAGCCCUUUUGAUGGGAAAGAAAAGCAGCAGGUUAAUACCCCGCUGUUCUGACGGUACCCAAAGAAUAAGCACCGGCUAACUUCGUG